AUGCAAGCAGAAUUGAAUGAUUGUCUCGAGAAAAACCGAAUAAGCGUUUCAAUGGAACUUGUCACGGCUGUAUUAGGAGACCAUGGGCAAAGGCCUAAGGAUGAUUAUGCUGUGAUUACAGCUGUGACAGAAUUGGGUGAUGGCAAGCCUCAAUUCUAUUCUACUCCAAAGUUGAUUGAAUUUUGUCGGAAAUGGCGCCUACCAACAAACCAUGUCUGGCUAUUCUCCACGAGGAAAUCCGCCACUUCAUUCUUUGCUGCCUAUGAUGCAUUAUGUGAAGAGGGAACUGCCACACCAAUUUGUAAUGUCCUUGGUGAAAUAGCUGACAUAUCUGUGCGAGGGUCAAAGGAUCAUGUAAUGGUGCAAGGUGAGAUACUUGAAGGUCUGGUUGCCCGUAUUGUUAGUCGUGAAAGUUUAGUUCAAAUGGAAGGUUUGAGGAACUGUCGACAACCUUCAUUAGAUGGAGGCGACUCUGAUUUAGGACCAAGUUUAUGA
Molecule: ribosomal RNA, 495 nt
Filed under: Triticum aestivum (bread wheat)
Lineage: Eukaryota; Viridiplantae; Streptophyta; Magnoliopsida; Poales; Poaceae
Description: partial small subunit ribosomal RNA
Source: RNAcentral